Long non-coding RNA from Nematostella vectensis (starlet sea anemone), 1062 nucleotides. RefSeq lists it as uncharacterized. Lineage: Eukaryota; Metazoa; Cnidaria; Anthozoa; Actiniaria; Edwardsiidae. The transcript has 3 exons. The record is from RefSeq and is a predicted model, not a curated record.
CAUGUAAGCUACAUGCAGUUGAGUCUAGAUGACAGGUCAAUGAGGACAAGAACAUGUAAGCUACAUGCAGUUGAGUCUAGAUGACAGGUCAAUGAGGACAAGAACAUGUAAGCUACAUGCAGUUGAGUCUAGAUGACAGGUCAAUGAGGACAAGAACAUGUAAGCUACAUGCAGUUGAGUCUAGAUGAAAGGUCAAUGAGGACAAGAACAUGUAAGCUACAUGCAGUUGAGUCUAGAUGACAGGUCAAUGAGGACAAGAACAUGUAAGCUACAUGCAGUUGAGUCUAGAUGACAGGUCAAUGAGGACAAGAACAUGUAAGCUACAUGCAGUUGAGUCUAGAUGACAGGUCAAUGAGGACAAGAACAUGUAAGCUACAUGCAGUUGAGUCUAGAUGACAGGUCAAUGAGGACAAGAACAUGUAAGCUACAUGCAGUUGAGUCUAGAUGACAGGUCAAUGAGGACAAGAACAUGUAAGCUACAUGCAGUUGAGUCUAGAUGACAGGUCAAUGAGGACAAGAACAUGUAAGCUACAUGCAGUUGAGUCUAGAUGACAGGUCAAUGAGGACAAGAACAUGUAAGCUACAUGCAGUUGAGUCUAGAUGACAGGUCAAUGAGGACAAGAACAUGUAAGCUACAUGCAGUUGAGUCUAGAUGACAGGUCAAUGAGGACAAGAACAUGUAAGCUACAUGCAGUUGAGUCUAGAUGACAGGUCAAUGAGGACAAGAACAUGUAAGCUACAUGCAGUUGAGUCUAGAUGACAGGUCAAUGAGGACAAGAACAUGUAAGCUACAUGCAGUUGAGUCUAGAUGACAGGUCAAUGAGGACAAGAACAUGUAAGCUACAUGCAGUUGAGUCUAGAUGACAGGUCAAUGAGGACAAGAACAUGUAAGCUACAUGCAGUUGAGUCUAGAUGACAGGUCAAUGAGGACAAGAACAUGUAAGCUACAUGCAGUUGAGUCUAGAUGACAGGUCAAUGAGGACAAGAACAUGUAAGCUACAUGCAGUUGAGUCUAGAUGAAAGGUCAAUGAGGACAAGAACAUGUAAGCUACAUGCAGUUGA